AGUCAGGCCUCUGAGAAGAGGGAUUUAUGUGCAACAUCAUCACAAUCUUAAGAAACUGUCUUCACAACAGUUUCUACCUCCAGCAGGUGAUGGAGAUCACAGAAGCACGGAGAAGUUAUCUAAAUUCAUCGCCUCUAAUCAACCGAACACCGCCAUCCAUUUCCCCCGAGUAGCCAGUGCACAGCUGGCUUCACUCAGCAAUUAGCCACCCAACAGUUGUUGAAGAGCUGCCCACUCCUUCGGUGUGGAGAAGCUUCAGUGCUGUGUGGUGGGCUUGGGCGUCUGAGUCUGAACGCCAAACCUGCACAGGCCUAAGAGCAGGUGGUGCCUGGUUACUACCAUAUGAUGAUGAAGCAUACUCAACAAAAGGGAUAUGGAGAAACCAAAACCUUUCUAACUAGAGGAUAUGUGCCGUGUAUCGUUAUUUGUUUUAUUUUUUUUGUUUGUAGUCAGUUUACAAGUUACUGCUAAAUGUAUAUAUACCUCAGAUUUCUCAUGUUAUUUGGACUACUGUCAUCCUUCUGUGGUCUUUGAACUGAAACUGAUUAAAAGGCAACAGCAAGCCCUUUUUAAGUGACUGACUCCAGCAUUGUUAGAAUGUUGCACUUUAUGUAAACUGUACUGUCUCACUGUUGUCCAGCAUGAACAAUAAAAUAAAUAGAAUAAUCCAGAAUUCUUCUGUAGUUGCAGUUGCAUCAUGUAUGAUGU
Long non-coding RNA from Oreochromis aureus, 708 nucleotides. RefSeq lists it as uncharacterized. The record is from RefSeq and is a predicted model, not a curated record. NCBI's taxonomy places the organism in Eukaryota, Metazoa, Chordata, Actinopteri, Cichliformes, Cichlidae. The transcript is spliced from 3 exons.